UUUUCCUAAAAUUUCAUAGUUGCAUACAUUUCUCAUUUAGAGGGAAAGAAAUAAUGUGUUUAAUUUACUAAUCAUUUUUCUAAAAAAUGUUUUAAAAAAUAUGGGCAAGUUACACUGCCAUCUUGUGGUUAGAAGUUCAUUUACAGUAGCAAGGACUUCAUUAAUUCCACACACGUAUGUAUUACCUUAAAAAAAAAAAUCCUGUUUGGAACUUAAGAAAAUAUAUUCCCUACACACCUCCCUCACUUUAUUAUGUAAAAGCCUAUUAUAUUGAAACAAGAAAUAGCAUUUUGAGUGGCUACCCUAGAUAGAUAAAUAAAAAGAACUAUGCAUUUGGCACUCUAGAUUUUGCUCAUAGAAGCUUAUAAUUUACUAUUAGUGUAUAUACAUUCAAACCCUGAUAAUUUAAAGAAACAAAAUUAUGGAAUGUAGGAGUUUCAUUUCCACAAGGUAAUCUCCAAGAUCUACAAGCAAUGAAUAUGACAUUCAUGCUAAAACUUAUCAACAAUUUUUGCUUGAUUCAAAACUAAAUUCAAAAGCAAGACCACCACAGAGAAAAUAAAUAUUAUAGCAAUAAAAAUAGUUGCUCCUACCUCUCUUACUCAUACACAUAAUUUUUUUUUCCAUACACAGUUAGGAAUAAUUAAAUGAAAAAAUUAAUUCCAAAGUCCAGGCAUCUACAUUUUUCAAAUGUAUAAUUCUCUAUGAUCUAUGCCAGGCACCUGUUUCAAAUGUUUUACAGUGGUAGGAUCUAAUUAGAAGGUAACACACUUCUACAUCUAACUGUCUGCAGAAAGCUUUUCCUUUUUUCUCUAUUUUUAAGCAAAUCAACAAAAUUAUGGGAAGACAGUGCCAUCUAUAGGUGCACAAGGACAGAAUGUGAUUCUUCUAUUCAAAUGUGACUGUCCACUAUGAUACAGUAGCCAACUAAAUGCAUUGUCUUAGAAAAAAGCUCUAAAAUAACUUUGUUCAUUAUUGAAUCUCUGGAGAGAUACCUGUAAUUUAUUCCAAAGUAUUUUAACUUAUUUGUACAAUCAUUCUCCAAAUAAGAAUAAUAAUAACAGCAGCCACAUCAAUAAGAACAAAAAUAAUACUUCCCAUAAUUGUAUUAAUCUGAUUUUGAUACAUUUAAUGAUCCAUAAACAUUGAUAAUUUUUCAAGAAAUAUUAGCCUCAUUGGCAUUUAUUCUCUCUCUUUUUCUCUCUCACAAUGUAAAACUUUUUAAGCUUAAUUCUAUUUUAGGUGUCAUUCAUUUGUAUUGAAACAUAUAUAUCAUUAUUAUUUCUCCAAAGUUAUAUUCCCCCUGUAAUAGUCCAUUCUAGAUUUUACAGACAUUCCAAUAAAUUUGCCCUGUGUCUCACCUAAAGCUGCCAGAUUUAUGCAAAUGAAAAAGUUCAAAACAAACCUAUGUCAUGCAACUUAAAUUCUCUCCUUUUUCACAGCCCAGCUCACCCAGUCUGCUGUGGGGUUGCUCUCAUUCUAAUGAGUCAUUCUGGUAUCUGACCUGAUUGUAUAAGGUUCGUUUAACAAUUACCCAAGGAUUGGGGCUCAACUCAUUCCUAAACAAUCGCCUGUGGAGAAUGACAGAAAAGAGGUAGCUCUGCCAAUGCUGACAGAGUCCUCUGAUGGGUCAUUCGGAUUAUUUUAUACUUGUACUAUGGCUGUCAUUUAAAGGUCUGGCAAAAACAAGAAAUGGUUGGUUGCACCAAAGGCAGAUCUUGAUCGUUCAUCAAUGAGCGAGUUUCUAGAGCGGCCAUAAUAUUUUAACCCAGCCUGAAGGAAAAGAGGUCUGGGGCUGCCUGAUUUCUCAUUUUGCACACUAUGAGGAUGAGUGGGAUAAUGGGUAGGAGUACAAGCUCUGAAGGCAAAGAGAACAGAGUUUGAGCUCCUGCUCUGUCACUGGCCUUGAGCAAGUUAGUUAAUUUCUCUGAGCUUCACUUUCUUCAUCCUCAAGAAAUUACAAAUUAAUAUCAAUAAUUUAAGCAAAGUAAGGUGCUUCAUACAUAAUUAUCAUUCAAUUAAUGUGAGCACUUAAGAUUUAUCUUACUGUUUCCUGUUUGUCUUGUCAUAAUUAUUGACUAAUUAGGGAGGAUCCAUUUAACUCAAAUAAACACCCAGAGAAGGUCACUUGCAACUUGCUAUGUUAACAAAAAGAAUGAGUGAGAAAGACAACUCAAAAUAAGGAUUAGUACAAUGAUACAACAGAAAAAAUAGUAUUUGAUGGCCUGAUAGGAGUUUCAAAAUUUACCUCUGAAAUGUUAAAAAUGUUUAAAAAUCACUAAGAAUCCACAUAACUCUUGACCCCAUGUUAUUUCUACUGUAUGAGUUAGAAAUCUGUAUCUGUAGGACACAGAGAAGUUGGAAAUAUAGAUGGGGAAUUACCUGCAAAUGAAUAAUAUUAAAGCCACAGAACAGAUGGGCUUGCUCAGGGAGGUAAGAUUAUAUGGAGCAGAGAACUUAGAACCCUGAAGAAUGCCAAUUUUUGAGGAAAGGGAAGAAGAGGAACCAGCAAAGGAAACAGUAAAGAAGUGACUGGACAUGAAGAGAAGAGUAACAAUCAUCAGUAAAGACAACUUUAAGGAGAAAAAUUGGUCAGAGAUGUGAAAUUUUACAAAGAUAGGUAAAAUUAAAAAUGAAAACCAGUCAUUAACAGUUUGAGCAGAAAGGUAAAGACAGAUAUGCCAAUUAUAGUAGGUUGGAAACCAAGUAAUGAACUUUUCACAAAGGCUUCCAAAGAAAGGAAGAGAGACACAGGACCAUAGCUUGAGAUAUGGAACACAAACUUGAGAAUCACAACAUGAUUCUCUGUGGAUUAAACUAUGUCUUCCAAAAAAGAUAUGUUCAGGCCCUAAACCCUGGUAUGUGACCUUAUUCAGAAAUAGGGUCUUUCCAGGUAUAAUCAAGUGAAAGUGAGGUCAUACCAGACGGUAAUGGGCCCUAACUCAAUCCUAACUCAAUGAUAUCCAUAUAACAAAGAGGGAAAUUUGGACAAAUAGGAAGAGAAAGCCACGCAAUGACAGUCAAAGAACAUAAUGAUUGUUACCAACUACCAGAAACUAAGAGAGAAGCAUGGACCAAAUUCUCCUUUGCUGCCUCCAGAAGGAACCAGCCCU
This 3113-nucleotide long non-coding RNA is filed under the name Canis lupus familiaris (dog). Its description in RNAcentral is "lncRNA (ENSCAFG00000057013.1)". Lineage: Eukaryota; Metazoa; Chordata; Mammalia; Carnivora; Canidae. The record is from RNAcentral.